AAGGUCAAAUAGUACGUGAAAUUGUUGAAAGGGAAACGAUUGAAGUCAGUCGUACCGACGAGCAAUCAGCCUUUUGGGUGCGAUUAUGUGGUAAAUGAAAAGAUUUCGUGAAUCGCAUAUUUGUGCGUUUUGGGUGUACUUGCUCGUAUGUAGGUUAACAUCAAUUUCGAUCAUCAUAAAAUGACGGGAGGAAUGUAGCUUCUUCGGAAGUGUUAUAGCCUCUGGUAGAUGUGAUGAUUGGGAUUGAGGAUUGCAACGGAUACCUUUUGGGCUACUCGUCUGAUCUCUGAUUGUCUCUUUGGUGCCGAAAGCUUGCUUAUGGUUUCAAAGUAAGGUGGUCAAAAGGUUAGAACGGGUUAAAUUCGUUAAGGAUGUUGACGUAAUGGCUUUAAACGA
Molecule: unclassified non-coding RNA, 396 nt
Filed under: uncultured Glomeromycotina
Lineage: Eukaryota; Fungi; Glomeromycota
Description: sequence contains 28S rRNA gene
Source: RNAcentral